UACGUAGGUGGCAAGCGUUGUCCGGAAUUAUUGGGCGUAAAGCGCGCGCAGGCGGCCUUUUAAGUCUGAUGUGAAAGCCCACGGCUUAACCGUGGAAGGUCAUUGGAAACUGAGAGGCUUGAGUACAGAAGAGGAAAGCGGAAUUCCACGUGUAGCGGUGAAAUGCGUAGAGAUGUGGAGGAACACCAGUGGCGAAGGCGGCUUUCUGGUCUGUAACUGACGCUGAGGCGCGAAAGCGUGGGGAGCAAACA
Molecule: ribosomal RNA, 251 nt
Filed under: uncultured bacterium
Lineage: Bacteria
Description: partial 16S ribosomal RNA
Rfam family: Bacterial small subunit ribosomal RNA
Source: RNAcentral